This 550-nucleotide ribosomal RNA is filed under the name uncultured bacterium. Its description in RNAcentral is "bacterial SSU rRNA". It matches the Rfam family "Bacterial small subunit ribosomal RNA", at positions 355 to 896 of the family's 1533-position model. The record is from RNAcentral.
UAGGGAAUCUUCCACAAUGGGCGAAAGCCUGAUGGAGCAACGCCGCGUGUGUGAUGAAGGCUUUAGGGUCGUAAAGCACUGUUGUAUGGGAAGAAAUGCUAGAAUAGGGAAUGAUUCUAGUUCGACGGUACCAUACCAGAAAGGGACGGCUAAAUACGUGCCAGCAGCCGCGGUAAUACGUAUGUCCCGAGCGUUAUCCGGAUUUAUUGGGCGUAAAGCGAGCGCAGACGGUUGAUUAAGUCUGAUGUGAAAGCCCGGAGCUCAACUCCGGAAUGGCAUUGGAAACUGGUUAACUUGAGUGUUGUAGAGGUAAGUGGAACUCCAUGUGUAGCGGUGGAAUGCGUAGAUAUAUGGAAGAACACCAGUGGCGAAGGCGGCUUACUGGACAACAACUGACGUUGAGGCUCGAAAGUGUGGGUAGCAAACAGGAUUAGAUACCCUGGUAGUCCACACCGUAAACGAUGAAUACUAGGUGUUAGGAGGUUUCCGCCUCUUAGUGCCGAAGCUAACGCAUUAAGUAUUCCGCCUGGGGAGUACGACCGCAAGGNUG